AAAAAAAAAGAAUUUAUUUCUUAUAAGACACGAAUAUAACAUCGCAGAUAAUCUAAUGGCAGAAAAAAAAAUAAAACAAAACCAUAGGAUAAAUAUUCUAAUAAGAACAAUGACUUUCGUCAAAAAUAGUAUUCAUGUUGCUCAUUGGAACACAACGCAAACUUGCGCAUGAAGCUUAAACCAAUAUGUCAUAGGUAUAAAGUUUCAGAGAGUUUUGACGGCUGAGAAAAAAAAAACCAAUGUUCCGAGCCGUCCCGUACCAAAUUACCAUUGGUAUCCGGCUUCGUUUAGAUUCCUUGUGUACCACUGUAAAAGAAAUUCUGAAUUGCAAGCUCUCGUGGCGCAAAAGUGCACUUAACCAAUUCUUUUACCCUCCAGACGUCAACCGAGUUAGUUUUUCUUCUAUCGAUCAGUGUGCUAGAUACAAAAAAAAAAGUUAAGCAAAGUAAAAUAAAGAAAAGUAAAAUAAAUUAAAAGAAAAAAAGAGUAAACUAGAAAACGAAAGAAAACUAAAGCUAAAUCCAAAAAAAAAAAAAAAAAACGAAAAAGACAAGAAGACAUAAAGGAUAAAUCAUCCCCCAAAAAUCAAAAAAAUAGGUACGUACUUAAUAGGAUACAUUCUUGUAGUAUCACCUAAAAAUUGAUUUCGUGUAGGAACUCGAAUUUGAGUCCUAGACCGAGGUGUGAAAGGAAAACCUCGCGGUCUUGUCCUGCAGAGGCACUAAAUUUCCACCACGAAACCUGAAUUUCAGAAAGAAAAGGAUUCUGAGCAGUGAACCAGCUUGUCCUUCACCAUCAGAGAGAAAACGAAUUUGGAUCCGUGCAAAAGAUUCAGAUAGAAAAAUUCGUCUCACAAAUAAUCUGAAGACAACUUCAACUUCACCAACUUUACGUCAAACACAGUUUUGACCUGGUCAAUUGUCCCAAAUAGGGAUUUAUCCAAUAAGAAGUCUUUCGCACUUCGGGCCAUCAAGUGGCCCCAACGUGGGAGAAUCUUUUGGACUUCGGGGGAUACAAAUCUUUUCGGCCACAGGUUACAGUCAGUGCAUCAUUGAAAAGGAAUAAUAAUUAUAAAAGUGCUAUAAAAAAAAAAAGAAGAAAAAGAAAAGAAAGGAAAAACUAGGCAGGAAAGAAAGUUUAAAAAAAAAAGGAAGUUGAAAGUACUUAAAAAGGAAAGGCCUAGGGAAAUUAAAUAAAUUCAAGGUGGUUUAAGAAAACUAAAGGCUAUUUAUUAAUAUUAGAAAAUAGUGCUGAAAAGGAGGUUAUAAAAAAAAAAAGAUUUAAAAAAAAAAUAGUUAGUAUAUUAAUAAAAAAAAAGUAAAACUACUUGUUCGAUCACUUAUUCUGAAAAAGAAAAAGAAAAAAAAAAUUGAAAAAAAAGAAAAAUCUACAAAAAUAAUAAGAAUAGGAAAUUAGAUUUAAGAUUCAGAAAAGGAUCUAGAAGAAAAAUUAGAGACAAAAAAAAAAUACAAAAGGAUGGUAGUGAUAGUUGAAAAUUACCACGAAAUAUAUAAAAAAAUAUACAUAAAUGAAUAAAAAUAAUAGUUUUGCUUCAGAGAAAUAAUUUUCGCUUCAAUGAAAUAAUUUUUUUUGACAAAGGUAAAAAGGAUUGAAAUGAAAUUUUGAUUAAGGAAACGAAUAAGAAUAAGUGAUUUUUGAAGAUCAAAAAAAAAAAACAUAAAAA
Eupeodes corollae is the source of this 1684-nucleotide long non-coding RNA. RefSeq lists it as uncharacterized. The record is from RefSeq and is a predicted model, not a curated record. The transcript is spliced from 2 exons. NCBI's taxonomy places the organism in Eukaryota, Metazoa, Arthropoda, Insecta, Diptera, Syrphidae.